GGGACCCGCACAAGCGGUGGAUGAUGUGGUUUAAUUCGAUGCAACGCGAAAACCUUACCUACCUUUGACAUGUACGGAAUUCGCCAGAGAUGGCUUAGUGCUCGAAAGAGAACCGUAACACAGGUGCUGCAUGGCUGUCGUCAGCUCGUGUCGUGAGAUGUUGGGUUAAGUCCCGCAACGAGCGCAACCCUUGUCAUUAGUUGCUACAUUUAGUUGGGCACUCUAAUGAGACUGCCGGUGACAAACCGGAGGAAGGUGGGGAUGACGUCAAGUCCUCAUGGCCCUUAUAGGUAGGGCUACACACGUCAUACAAUGGAUGGUACAAAGGGUCGCCAACCCGCGAGGGGGAGCCAAUCCCAUAAAACCAUUCGUAGUCCGGAUCGCAGUCUGCAACUCGACUGCGUGAAGUCGGAAUCGCUAGUAAUCGUGGAUCAGAAUGUCACGGUGAAUACGUUCCCGGGUCUU
This 465-nucleotide ribosomal RNA is filed under the name uncultured Polaromonas sp. RNAcentral describes it as "bacterial SSU rRNA". It matches the Rfam family "Bacterial small subunit ribosomal RNA", at positions 916 to 1382 of the family's 1533-position model. The record is from RNAcentral. Lineage: Bacteria; Pseudomonadati; Pseudomonadota; Betaproteobacteria; Burkholderiales; Comamonadaceae.